RNAcentral lists this long non-coding RNA (3203 nucleotides) under Equus asinus (donkey). Its description in RNAcentral is "lncRNA (ENSEASG00005027094.1)". Lineage: Eukaryota; Metazoa; Chordata; Mammalia; Perissodactyla; Equidae. The record is from RNAcentral.
GUAUUUAUCUGAAAAAAAUGAAAACACUAAAUUGAAAAGAUAUCUGCAUCCCUAUGUCCACUACAGCAUUAUUUACAAUAGCCAAGACGUGGGGACAACCUGUGUCCUUCAAUGAAUGAAUCAAUAAAGAAAGUGUGGGGUAAAUGUAUACACAGUGGAAUAUUAUUCACCCAGAAAAAAGGAAUAAAACCUUGUCAUUUUCAACAACAUUAACAAACCUCAAGGGCAUUAUGCUAAGUGAAAUAAGGCAAAUAAAGACAAAUACCGUCUGAUCUCACUUACAUGUGGAAUCUAAAAAAACCAAAACAGUACCCCUCCCCUCCCAAACUCAAGCUUAUAGAUACAGAGAAUAGAUUGGUGGUUGCCAGAGGUAGGGGUGGGAUUAGGGGGUAGGAGAAAUGCGUGAAGGUGGUCAAAAGGUACAAACUUCCAGUUAUAAAAUUAAUAAGUCCUGGGGAAGUAAUGUCCAGCAUGGGGACUAUAGUUAAUACUGUAUUGUGUAUUGGAAAGUUGCUAAGAGAGUAGAUCUUAAGUUUUCACCAUAAGAAAAAAAAUCUUUUUUAACUAUGUAAGGUGAUGGAUGUUCACUAGACAUUGUGUUGAUCACUUUACAAUGUACACAAAUAUUAAAUCAUUACAUUGUACAUCUGAAACGAAUAUAGUAUGUCAACUAUACCUCAAUAAAAAAAUUAAAAAGGGAAUAUAGAAAAUGAAAAAAGAAAAAGAAAAUAGGUGUUCCAUUGUUUGUUCGAUUUGGAAACCCUUGCUUUCAAGGGCACUUCUUAAGAGAAUGAUUUUGUCGAAUUGGAACAUUCUCUAUAGUGGCCUUUGUAAUUCUAGGUUGUCUUAGUACGACGUUGUCAUUUUUGUAGACAUCUAUCCAUUCUGGGACCACAGCUCUUACACAUAAAGUAGGCAGGUGUACUGAAAGGUGGGGCGCUCAGUCUUGGAACCUUGAGGAUCCCAUCGCUUUAGCUAAGCCUUGGGUCUCUCAGAGGCAAAUUAAUACCUCAAAGGGAUGUAGCACAGGGCUGGGGAUUUUGUAGUGUUUUACAAUGUACCUCGGUAUCAGAAAUUUUCUUGAGGUUGGCAGGUGACCUAGUGUCAAUUUAUCUCUUCGGUGGCCACCUUAUCCUAGCAGGGGAAUCUCAGAGUUAGAUGGUGAGCCCUCUUACAGCUUUUAAGUGCUUGACCUGCGCCCAGCAAUUUUGCUGCUUUGGCUUCCAAGAUUCCUCUUAGCAAUAGAUCUAUUAUUCUUUUCACGAGAAAAUUUCUUUAUAGUGGCUUUUAAUAGUCCAACUUUUACCUACUUAGAUUUUGGCAUGCCAUUGGUCAAAACAGUCCAGAUUUCUUGUUUUAAUCUAUUUCCCCAAGUCCCCCAAUGGUUUAUGCUGUGGACUUACCGGGAGGUUUUUGUGAGUCCCCUAACAGCUGCCAUCUUGCACUCUUUAAGACUGAGGAGUUCCCGUUAUUUUUCUCUUGCUGAAAUAAUCCUAAUUCAACCAGACAUGUUUCUGGCUGCCUGUGCACAGUUCCUGAGACUUGUCAGGACCACCUGAAGGCACUUACCUUGUAGAUGAGGUCACAAGGUGAAAAAUCUGGAAUCUCUCAUACCUCAGUUUUUCCAUCUGGAAGGACUAGGACAAACAAACUUGAAGAGCUCGUAACGCAAAAUAAGCGGAGCUCCAACCAAGGGAAGCUUAGAGAGCAGCUCAUCCCAGAUCCCUGAGAGCGGCCCAAGGGGCAGCAACCCAUAGGACUCGGUGGGUACCUUCAGCAGCGUCUGGACGCCGUCCUGACACUGCGGCAGCUGACUUCGGGUCCCAUCUCAUUGCGAAAACUGUCAAAUGACAAAACUAAAACAACGUAGUAAGGAGUUUGAGGUCUUUUGUUCAAGGGAAAACGAUCCAUGGAAUCGGGGGAGCACUCUUCCCAGGGAUGUUGGGCAGCACUGAGUUAUAUAGCGCCUUAGAAGAGGCAACGUGGAAACUCGUGAUUGGCUAGGAGGUCGGGGGUUUCCUUAUAAGGCAGAAGGUCCUGUUUUCUAGGGUCAGAUAAGAGCCAAAGCUGAGCUGGAGGAUUGUUAUUUGUGUGUGUUAGGUUUCCUUGACACGUGUUUCCAGUAAGUGCAAGCUGACUUAGGUUUAGAUUUGUGACAUGGGCUGGCCUCCAUUUUAUGGGUCCUCAUAUACCAUUACCUUUAUCAGGGCCAGUUGGUAUAAACAGGCCUUUGAUUAAACUCCUCAGUUGCCCAAAAGCAAGAUGCUAUGAGAGCUCUUUCUCACUUUGUAGAAAUUGAAGCCUUUUAUCAGCUGAAUUUUCUAUGCUAAGAGGGAACUAGCUGAAAUAGUGGUUCUCAUUUCUGGCUUCACCAUUAGAAUCAUCCCUGGAACUUUAAACAUUUUUUGUAUUUUUAAAUUUUACCAGAUUCUUUGGAAUUUAGGCCCCAGCCUCACUCCCAAGAUUCUGAUUUAACUGGUUGCUUGUGGGACCUUCACAGCAGUUCUUUGGUGUUUUUUUUUUUUCUUCUCUAACCCUCCAAAGGUGAUUCUAACGUGUUUGUGAUUCACUGGUGUAAAGGUGAGGCAGGGUAGUGAAAUCUAAAAGUAUGUUCAAAAUCCGUAUGGUUAAUUAUUGAAAUAUAAAGCAGAGAUAAUUAAACGAGAUAAUGUUUGUGAACCUGCUGGGUACAAAGCACUGACAAGUGUUCUUGGAGGAUGAUUAAUAGAAAAUGAAUUUCCCUCCAGCAUAGGAUUACGUUUUUGGCCUUUGUCUGUACGUCCAGAACCUCUUAGACCUGUUGAGAGAGCCACAACCAUGAGGACCAAGAAGUAUGGUUGUGUAGGUUAAGCCCUGCCCAAAGGUUCCUGGGUGAGUUGAGAAUGGAAUCCAGCCCACCACCAAGCUGUGAAAUGGCCGCCAUAUUAAAACUCUCACACAGGUACCGUGUUCUAAUAGCAGCUGUGACAAGAGGGCCUGAAUCAAAAAGCUGCCCACUUCCUCUCUCUUCCAAAUUUAGGGUGCCGUGAGGACAAAUACGAAUUUAAAAUAAGAGGCUUCAUUCCCCCUGUUGAAAAUAAGGGAAGAGAUUUCCCUCCCCACCCUUUUGGUCAGAAUAUUUACCUUAGAAAACUUGCAAGUGGAAUUAUUUUCUCUGUCUUUUUGAAAAGUAUCUUUUUGGAAACUAAAUAAGCCUUUGUCAG